RNAcentral lists this ribosomal RNA (440 nucleotides) under uncultured bacterium. RNAcentral describes it as "partial 16S ribosomal RNA". It matches the Rfam family "Bacterial small subunit ribosomal RNA", at positions 339 to 795 of the family's 1533-position model. The record is from RNAcentral.
CUACGGGUGGCAGCAGUGGGGAAUAUUGCACAAUGGAGGAAACUCUGAUGCAGCGACGCCGCGUGGAGGAUGACACUUUUCGGAGCGUAAACUCCUUUUAUAUAGGAAGAAGAUGACGGUACUAUAUGAAUAAGCGCCGGCUAACUCCGUGCCAGCAGCCGCGGUAAUACGGAGGGCGUCAAGCGUUACUCGGAAUCACUGGGCGUAAAGAGCGUGUAGGCGGAUUAAAAAGUCAGAAGUGAAAUCCUAUAGCUUAACUAUAGAACUGCCUCUGAAACUCUUAAUCUAGAAUAUGGGAGAGGUAGAUGGAAUUUCUGGUGUAGGGGUAAAAUCCGUAGAGAUCAGAAGGAAUACCGAUUGCGAAGGCGAUCUACUAGAACAUUAUUGACGCUGAGACGCGAAAGCGUGGGGAGCAAACAGGAUUAGAUACCCGGGUAGUC